RNAcentral lists this ribosomal RNA (396 nucleotides) under Triticum aestivum (bread wheat). RNAcentral describes it as "partial small subunit ribosomal RNA". The record is from RNAcentral. Lineage: Eukaryota; Viridiplantae; Streptophyta; Magnoliopsida; Poales; Poaceae.
AUGUGGAUCGUUUUCUUUGGAUCCCCAACUGAAGAGUUUGAAGUUGUUUCUGCAGACAACCUAGAUGUCAAUGAAUGUGCGCAGAGUCCAGCCCCCUGCCAUGGCUCUGCAACUUGCCACAACACAGUUGGAGGGUUCCAUUGUUCAUGCCCUUUUGUCACCAGUUUUGCUAAGGAAACAAACUCCUGCGCCAAUCAGUUUACAAGUCAGGAGUUGAGCAGGGCACAAUCUGUGGCAGGACCGCACUCUCCUACUCAUUUGUCUCAAAGCAAAAGAAGCUUGCUGCCUUUGCCUGGAGAGAGUAGAAGUUUCUUUUAUCUAAUCCAAGAUGAUCUAUUCAUGAUUAAAACAGCGAGGAAAUCAGAAGUUGAGUGCAAGGGCUGCAUGUCCUUAUAA